Molecule: long non-coding RNA, 701 nt
Organism: Lynx canadensis (Canada lynx)
Lineage: Eukaryota; Metazoa; Chordata; Mammalia; Carnivora; Felidae
Exons: 3
Source: RefSeq, a predicted model, not a curated record
CAAGCCACCUGCUGGGCACUCGGGGUUGGGAUCUCCCCUACACCCCCACCGCGGAAGGAUCUGCCCCACACCCCCACCGCGGCGGGCGGCGGACUUUGGAAGAGACCGGCGGGUGCCCACUCGAGUGGUAUUGGCUGGACUGGAAGAUCUGAGCUGCCCUUCCCUGGGCCUGGUGCCCCUUUCUCUGCUACCAACACCGGCCAGGCCAUUCACCCACAGCCAUAGCAGGGCUGGCAUCCAGCCGACCUGAAUUUCCCAAAGGGCUCUCCCAGGUCCUAGAGUCCUGCCGCCGUGAGAGGUCAUCAGACCCUGAUCUUGGGUCUCUGAGAGGGUGGCCUGGCACGAUGCGUAAAUUGAGAUGAGGAAAGCCAAGUUUGGGUGCUGACCAGGGAGUCGCUUUCUACAGGCCCUUUUCUAUAGUGGCCCCGCUGUCAUAACUGCUAGCAACGGAAGGAGGAAGGAGUGGCAGUUGGACAGCAGUGGGCCCAGCCUCCACUGGAAGUACCUACCGGGGCUGCCAAGACUGCGUCCUGAACCUUCAAGCUGUCCCUGCCUGGACGCCUGUCCACAUUUGCAUCUAUAUGAGGCGGAAAUGCUGAAAUGUUCUGAUUCCAGGGUCGAGGGAUCCAGCCUCCAAGCUCAGCGUGGAGCCUGCUUAACAUUCUCUCUCUCCCUCCCUCCCCCCCCCAUCUCCUGUUUGC